AUAUAUAUGUGUGUGUGUAAUUUUCAUACAUUGUGUGCAUAAUUAAGUUUAAUUCAUUAGUAUUUAUUAGCCAUCGGGGAUCUUUCUGAAAGGAAAAAAGAGCUAUUUGUUGUUGGCUUCAUCUGGCACGAGCGUGUCAAGUCCCCUAUUCCACUAUUAGGCUUAUGCAAAUCUUGCAUGGGCAUGCCAAGCCCCUUAUUUCUUGAUUAGGCUGUUGACGCAUCUAGCACGGGCAUGCCAUCCAUGCACACGAGCGUGUCAUUAAGCUUAUGAGUUAUUUCCUUAUUUUGUAUGUUUUUAGUGUCUUUGGGCCUAAACAAAUUUUAGGUCACGUCUUUAGCUUAGAAAAAUUUUAUAAAAGGGCUCCGACUUUGAGUAUUGACAACUUAGGAGAGUUUUGGAGUUUUCUUAGCUUUUUUCUUCUUCAAUCGGUACUCCUUCUUUCUCUUUUAUGUUUUCUUUACGAUUGCUCAUGACUAUGUGUGAGUAGUUCUCUUUGUUUUGGGAUUAAAUCAUAGCCAUUGACAAUUAUUUUAUGUUAAUUUAAUUUCUUUGAGGUUUUUUGUAUUUCGUCUUCCAAUUCUUUGGGAUUCCCAAUGUCCUCUCCAACUCCAUUUUCCUCAUUUCUUCAUUCAACUCUUGUCAUCGUGCUAUCUAGCACAACCAAUUAUCUCUCUCUUGAUUUCCUACUUCUACAACUCUUGUCGAAAAGUUUUAUCGACGUGAACUAACAUUGGUGUCUAAACAUUGUUUUCAAAGUCACUUGGCACAAACUCACACUAGAAAGUGAAUAGUAAAUCAAAUGAGAAAAAAAAUUGUUUUUUUAAAUAGCAAACCACGUGUCUCUUGAAAGGAAUGUGAAGAAAAGAAAAGCAAGUGUUGUCUUCUAAUGAGUGUCCAAAGGUAUUUAAAUUUACAUAGGAAAAAGUGAAAAAAGAUAGUGUCCAUUGAUUUUAGUCCAACAUGAUCUCUUUCCACCAUCGCCUAUGUGAAUUCAGAUGUAUCUGGAAGCUCAUUAGAAGGGUUUGAGUUUGCACCAAGUGGAUUCCCCCAACAAUGUUUUGACGUUGAUGUCAAUCGUGUCGAUAAAGCAUUUUGGCAAGAAUUGGAGAAGGAGGAUACCAAGAAAGAGAUAAUCGGCAAUAAAAUGGCACGACGACAAAAUCUAGAAAAAAUGAGAGGAAAAUGACAUUGGAGAGAACAUUAAGAAUCCCAAUGCAAAUACUAGAAGGGAUCUCGUUUCGAGAACGAGCUUCAGUGCCUUGGAAUCAAAAUCAAAUAAGAAGUAACUUAGUUGAUACACAUUAACAUAUUUGAUUGUCACAACUCAAAUUGAUGGCAUACAACCUUUUACUCAAACUACCAGUAACAAGGAUCAAUUGUUCAUACUAGUUAAUGAAUAUAAUUAUUUUGAACAACUAAA
Long non-coding RNA from Glycine soja, 1423 nucleotides. RefSeq lists it as uncharacterized. The record is from RefSeq and is a predicted model, not a curated record. The transcript has 2 exons. NCBI's taxonomy places the organism in Eukaryota, Viridiplantae, Streptophyta, Magnoliopsida, Fabales, Fabaceae.